UAAGGUUCGCAAGACAUUAUCCUGCAUCUCCUAAAUGCAACUCAGGCGCUUUAAUUAAGCUAGAACCUUU
Molecule: transfer RNA, 70 nt
Filed under: Steatornis caripensis (oilbird)
Lineage: Eukaryota; Metazoa; Chordata; Aves; Caprimulgiformes; Steatornithidae
Description: tRNA-Ala
Source: RNAcentral